GAGAAGCGACACAGCUUGCUAUUAAAAUUCUCAUUGAAAUUGGCGUUGAUAUAUUGGAUCUCUAAGUCAAGCUGCAAUUUUCAUUGGCUGGGUAUACUUGGGAUGCGCAAUAUCCUUGUAUUUCUACUAUGUUGACGAUUUGAGUGUUUAUAACCUCACAUUCAUGUGAUGUAGGAUAUAGCAGAGCAAGAAAUAUUCCUCUGAGCAGUGCAGUUAAAAGAAAAAAAUGUUUUAAUUAUUGUUCGAUGUCCGCUUUUAACAUCCACCAUUUAUUACCGGUACUUUGUCAUUAGAUAUAUGACCAUCAACACACAUCUAGUGACAAAAAACCGCGGAUACUUUUUAGAUGAC
Long non-coding RNA from Acromyrmex echinatior (Panamanian leafcutter ant), 351 nucleotides. The record is from RefSeq and is a predicted model, not a curated record. NCBI's taxonomy places the organism in Eukaryota, Metazoa, Arthropoda, Insecta, Hymenoptera, Formicidae.